This 69-nucleotide transfer RNA is filed under the name Sicista betulina (Northern birch mouse). RNAcentral describes it as "tRNA-Gly". The record is from RNAcentral. Lineage: Eukaryota; Metazoa; Chordata; Mammalia; Rodentia; Dipodidae.
ACUCCCUUAGUAUAACUAGUACAGCUGACUUCCAAUCAGCUAGACCCGACUAAGAUCCGGGAGAGAGUA